RNAcentral lists this ribosomal RNA (468 nucleotides) under uncultured bacterium. RNAcentral describes it as "partial 16S ribosomal RNA". It matches the Rfam family "Bacterial small subunit ribosomal RNA", at positions 28 to 507 of the family's 1533-position model. The record is from RNAcentral.
GACGAACGCUGGCGGCGUGCUUAACACAUGCAAGUCGAACGGAAAGGCCCUGCUUUUGUGGGGUGCUCGAGUGGCGAACGGGUGAGUAACACGUGAGUAACCUGCCCUUGACUUUGGGAUAACUUCAGGAAACUGGGGCUAAUACCGGAUAGGAGCUCCUGCUGCAUGGUGGGGGUUGGAAAGUUUCGGCGGUUGGGGAUGGACUCGCGGCUUAUCAGCUUGUUGGUGGGGUAGUGGCUUACCAAGGCUUUGACGGGUAGCCGGCCUGAGAGGGUGACCGGCCACAAUGGGACUGAGAUACGGCCCAGACUCCUACGGGAGGCAGCAGUGGGGAAUAUUGCACAAUGGGCGCAAGCCUGAUGCAGCAACGCCGCGUGCGGGAUGACGGCCUGCGGGUUGUAAACCGCUUUCGCCUGUGACGAAGCGUGAGUGACGGUAAUGGGUAAAGAAGCACCGGCUAACUACGUG